Molecule: ribosomal RNA, 454 nt
Filed under: uncultured bacterium
Lineage: Bacteria
Description: partial 16S ribosomal RNA
Rfam family: Bacterial small subunit ribosomal RNA
Source: RNAcentral
GAUGAACGCUGGCAGAAUGCUUAACACAUGCAAGUCUACUUGAACUUCGGUUUGGGUGGCGGACGGGUGAGUAACGCGUAAAGAACUUACCUCACAGUUAGGGACAACAUUUGGAAACGAAUGCUAAUACAUGAUAUUAUGAUUUUAGAGCAUACUAAGAUUAUGAAAGCUAUAUGCGCUGUGAGAGAGCUUUGCGUCCCAUGAGCUAGUUGGAGAGGUAACGGCUCACCAAGGCGAGGAUGGGUAGCCGGCCUGGGAGGGUGACCGGCCACAGGGGGCUAGAGACAGGGCCCGUACGCAUACGUGGGGCAGCAGUGGGGAAUAUUUGAAGACAGACCAAAAGUGUGAUGCAGGAAUUCGGUGUGUAAGAUGACGUUUUUCGGAAUGAAAAGUGCUUUCAGUUGGGAAGAAAAAAAUGACGGUACCAACAGAAGAAGCGACGGCUAAAUACGUG